Molecule: ribosomal RNA, 491 nt
Filed under: uncultured bacterium
Lineage: Bacteria
Description: partial 16S ribosomal RNA
Rfam family: Bacterial small subunit ribosomal RNA
Source: RNAcentral
AGUGAACGCUGGCGGUAGGCCUAACACAUGCAAGUCGAACGGCAGCACAGUAAGAGCUUGCUCUUACGGGUGGCGAGUGGCGGACGGGUGAGGAAUACAUCGGAAUCUACUUUUUCGUGGGGGAUAACGUAGGGAAACUUACGCUAAUACCGCAUACGACCUACGGGUGAAAGCAGGGGAUCUUCGGACCUUUCGCGAUUGAAUGAGCCGAUGUCGGAUUAGCUAGUUGGCGGGGUAAAGGCCCACCAAGGCGACGAUCCGUAGCUGGUCUGAGAGGAUGAUCAGCCACACUGGAACUGAGACACGGUCCAGACUCCUACGGGAGGCAGAAGUGGGGAAUAUUGGACAAUGGGCGAAAGCCUGAUCCAGCCAUACCGCGUGGGUGAAGAAGGCCUUCGGGUUGUAAAGCCCUUUUGUUGGGAAAGAAAAGCAGCAGGUUAAUACCCCGCUGUUCUGACGGUACCCAAAGAAUAAGCACCGGCUAACUUCGU